AUGUUUCUCCCAGGAGAAGACUCCAGAUGCUGCCAUCUCACCACACCCUUCUGUAGACUGAAUCUGGUAGUUUGGGACACAGAGAGGCAGUCUGUGGAUACAGGAGUGACUUUGAAGACAGCUGGCACUGAGGCUGGAAUGAAGACAGAGAAAUGAGUUUUUCCCAUGGUACUCAUUGGCCAUUGCUUCUCUCUGAUUUGAGGUCAGAAAAAUUUCCCUUUAAAAAUGUCGCUUUAAGAAACAGUGGAAUUUGAUGGGGUAUGUAAAAUUUAUUUU
Molecule: long non-coding RNA, 276 nt
Filed under: Cyanistes caeruleus (blue tit)
Lineage: Eukaryota; Metazoa; Chordata; Aves; Passeriformes; Paridae
Description: lncRNA (ENSCCEG00000016006.1)
Source: RNAcentral